Molecule: non-coding RNA, 2786 nt
Organism: Manis javanica (Malayan pangolin)
Lineage: Eukaryota; Metazoa; Chordata; Mammalia; Pholidota; Manidae
Source: RefSeq, a predicted model, not a curated record
CCUGCGUGCUAGUCCUGCCUACGGAGGGGAGGCCACGCGGUCACGUCGGCCGGCAGCGUGGAUUUGACAUGCAGGGAAGAACUCGAACCCCAGGCCAGCUUGGACUCGCAGCCCUGCCUUUCGUGAACAUUGCACAACCUAUCCAACCGCCCCGUGCCUCACUUUUCUCCUCUGGGAAAUGGGCACGUUGUGAUACCAGGACACCUUGAAUGGGCCUGGCACACAGCAGAUGCUCAGUAAAGGUGGAGAAACUGGGCUCCGAGAAGCAAAGCGACUUGCUGAAGGCCACACAGCAAAGCAGAGCGGAGGCCAUUCACCAGGUGGACUCCAGGAUGAAGGGCUUCAUCUCCCACCCCCUGCGCAAACAGCACUUCACUGGCAGUUUUCUGCAAAGCGCAUCGCCAGGGCCGGGCUCCCCUUUGGGACAGUCUUCCCUCAGUGAGACUGCAGGUGGCGGCAGUGGUCACGUUGGGCUGCUCAGCCCCUACUUUGCUGCACCAGGAAGAUCACAGAAAACCAGCCAGCAUGGACCCGGAGGAUUGCAGAGGGCAGAGAGCUUGAAUAGCCGGCGGCUGCACGGGGGCCUGGCCCGACUCAGGGGCCCUCCUCCCAGAGGUGCCGGGCUUGUGUGGGUGCGGCCAUGUCAGCCAGGCAGGGUCAGCAGGUUUCAGCAAAUACAUCGGCAGUAUCAUUUGAAGCUUUUAAACCAGGAACAUGUGUUGCACUGAUACAAAUGCAAAUUCAAUAGCGAAAGAACAAACAUCUUCACAAAUUUGACAGGUGAGAAGUGCUCCAUGGUUGCUUGGAUCUACAUUCUUUUAAUUUCUGGCAAGGACGUACAUUGCUCAAAUGUUUCUGCACCGUCUGUGUUUUCUCUAAGUCCUGGUGUCUGCUGCCAGGGAACAGAGUAAGGCUGGAGCCUGGCACGUGGGGGCAGACAGCUCUGCUUCCAAGUCCUGCUCUGCCAGUACCUGGGUGACCUCACAUGGGGGGCUUUAUCUCCACUUUGCUCACCCACAAACUGGAUGGUAAUAGGAUGCAGUCUUAGUCCAUUCAGGCUGCUUAAACGCAAUGCCACAGACUCAGGGGGCUUAUAAACAAUGGAAAUUUGUUUCUCAUGGUUCUGGAGGUGAGAAGUCUGAGAGCAGGCUGCCGGCAGGGCCCGGUGAGGGCCCUCUUCUGGGCACACUUCCUCUCUCAGGGGAAGGGGCAGGGGCUCUCUCUGGGCCCCAUUAUAUUAAGGCCCAUUUCAUGGGGAGGGGGGCUCUGCCCUCAUAAUCUAAUUGCCUCCCCAAGGUCCCACUUCCUAACGUCAUCAGCUUUGGGGGUGAGGACUUCAAUGUGUGGAUUUCAGUGGGACGAGGUUAGACAACAGCAAUGGUGAUGUUUUGGUGAGUUGGGAUGGCAGAGGUUGCUAGAAGUCUACCAAGUGCUCUCACCUACAUCCUCAUUUAAUCUGCAUAGUAUGGGCAUUGUUUUAACAUCUUUUUCACUAAGGACAGGAGACUCAGAGGGGUGGAGCAAGUUGCCUGUCACCCACUCUAUCGCUUUGUGGAGCUCACCGUGAGAAUGUCUCUGACCCUGAACCCAGCCCCAAGCAGACCCAGGGGCCAAUCUUUGCCACUAGGUGUUGAAUUGGCCAUUCAGACGGUCCGUGAUUGAGCCUCUGUGGCUCCUCUGUCUCUGAGUUUUGUUCAUUUCUUUUGAGACCUCCCUCAGGGGCCCCUGACUUCCUGCUCCCGUGCGAACUGGCAGCCCUCUCAGCCCACUGAACGGCUGUGGUUCUGGCAUUUUCCUUUGCUGUUACCCUGGGGACCCCCAUACUCCCUUGUGUUGGAUCACUGGUUUCUUAGUCCCCAGGUCUUUCUGUUUUGCAGCUCACCUUCUCAUUUUGGUGGAGCACAGCCUGUAAGGAGGCAUGGAGGUAAAUGUUACAAGACCUUGCAUGUCUUAAAAUGACCUUAUUCUAGCCUCAUGCUUGAUCAACAGCCUGAGAAUUGAAGUCUAUGUUGAAAACCAUUUUCCUUAGGAUUUUGAAGGCAUUGCUCUGUCGGCUUCUAGCUUGUAAGGUUGCUGGAGAGAAUUCUGGAGCCAUUCUGAUUCGGAGUGUUUGUGACAAUUUCUCCCCAUUCUCUGGAAACUCUAGAAACAAUUUAUUCUAGCACCCAGUCGUUCUGGUACAUAAAGAUGCUGUGUCUUGGUGUGAGUCUUUCUUUUUUAGUCCAUUCCGCUGGAUGCCGGUCAGCUCAAUCGAGAAGCCUAUGGGCUUCGGUUCUGAGAGUUUUUCAUCACAUUUGUCAGCCUCCUCUCUGCUUUCUCUGAUCUCUCUCAGCCUCCUAUUUUUGGGAUGUGGGAUUUAAGAAGCUUUAUAACAUGGAGAAGUUCCGAACUUUUUAUGCAGGCAUAUCUGUUAACUUCCAUUUAGCCUUCUAGAUGGACCUUGCUGCUGAUCUCAUCUUUGAAAUAUUCUUCCCAUCCCUAAAAUUACAUGACCAACUCAAUUGUUAAUGUUGGCAAUAGCAAGUUCAUAACGAGGCUCACGCCGUUGUGUUCAUCUGAACUCCACUGCAGGCAGCACAAGUGAGCAUUUGUGUGACAAGCGAAGGGGAGAAACAAUUUACUGGUUAAACCAAGAAAAAAGAAAAACAACCCACAUGAUUCAUUUUAUCUGGGAUCUUAUUGCCAGCAAAGAUUCUGGUUUUUAAAUGUUGAAAUGAGUAUUUUUUUUACACAAGUUAAAGGACAUGAAAAAAUUGUUGAAGGACAAAUAAUGAGCAGAAAGAACU